AUGGGCACGGCCAAAGCUCAGCCCUGGACCCAAACCCUGACCCUGGGCCCCAAACUGGGACCCUUGGGGUUCCCCAUCCUCCUCCUCCCGGGUGGGUCCUGUCCCUUUUCCCAGCAGGCCACGCCCACGUUGGGGCUCUCGACCAAUCAGGUUUCUCGUGCCCAUCUCCCCUUGUUCCCUUUGGGGCUGCGGGCGGCCGUGACCCUGCUGGAGCCCGGGGGCACCUCCAGCCCCCCGGGGGCUCCCUGCGCCUCCUCUGCCGAGCAUCCGGGUUCAGUUUUGGGAACUUUGACAUGUACUGGAUCCGCCAGAGGCCCGGGCAGGGGCUGGAGUGGCUGGCAUGGAUCUACAGCAGUGGUGGCAGCACCAACUACGCGCCCUCGGUGCAGGGCCGUUUCACGAUCUCCAGGGACAACGGGCAGAGCUCGGUGACGCUGACCAUGAACAGCCUCAAGGACGAGGAUUCCGGCUCCUAUUUCUGUGCCAAAUGUUUCAGCAGUGGUUGUGGUAACGCUGCUGGUGCUCAUGGUGUUGUUGCUGACUGUGGUCCAGGCCCUUUCUUCUGUGUUCCCAAAUAUCCCAGAAUUGUCCAAAGGUUCCCCAAAUCUCAGCCAUUUUCCCCUAAACUCCUCCCCUGUUACCCCAAGUCUCGACUUUGGCCAUAA
Non-coding RNA from Agelaius phoeniceus (red-winged blackbird), 665 nucleotides. The record is from the annotation of a RefSeq genome assembly. NCBI's taxonomy places the organism in Eukaryota, Metazoa, Chordata, Aves, Passeriformes, Icteridae.